This 75-nucleotide transfer RNA is filed under the name Alishewanella phage vB_AspM_Slickus01. Its description in RNAcentral is "tRNA-Asn". It matches the Rfam family "tRNA". From Rfam's summary of the family: Transfer RNA (tRNA) molecules are approximately 80 nucleotides in length. Their secondary structure includes four short double-helical elements and three loops (D, anti-codon, and T loops). The record is from RNAcentral. Lineage: Duplodnaviria; Heunggongvirae; Uroviricota; Caudoviricetes.
GGGGAAUUGGCUCAGUUGGUAGAGCAACGGACUGUUAAUCCGUAGGUCGCUGGCUUAAGCCCAACAUUCCCCUUA